UACAUGGUAGCAUACUUUCUUAGCAAAUCUAACAAGGGAGUUUCUGCCAUUCUCGAAAUGUCAUAAAGGUUGAUGCUUCAAGGCAUGUAUUACAUGGUAUCAGAUAGUGCCUGAUCCAGCCACAAUGGAAAUACAGUGCUAUAAAGUAGCAAAUAAUCUUAGGAAACGUAACACAGAAGGAUCUCAUUUCCGAUCCAUGGAGCAGAAGGCCCGAUGCACGGAUGCAGGGUAGGCAUCAUCAUGACAUCAUCCUAAUAGUUAACUGGUCAAUAAGAGCUCUGGUGCAAAGCAGAACUGCAUUCAGAACACCAUCGAAAAACAAGAAGCGACACACUGCAAAGAAGGAACCACAUGACAAACUGCUAAACCAUACCUGUGGCACACGGUCCACUUCCCUUUACUGGCAGUCAGUGCUUUCUUAGUACGGAAAGCUUGAAUAAUCGCAGCAUGAAGUGGACGGCUCCUCCAUCAGUGGCUUGCUGUUUAUGACCAGAGGCAAUUAGACACAAUUCAGAAGGAAGAAGGAUGCUCACCGGCGUCCACAAUAAUGCUCUCUCUGGGCUGCGGAAAAGAAACAUCUUUUUGAAGAUGAUGUGGGGUAAAAUAUACAGAUAUGACGUAAUAUUUCAAUUCAGACAAAAGACUUACAAGCAUUACUUGGACAAGGAAUGAAACAACAUCAACGAAAAUCAGAGAGGGUCAUGACGC
Molecule: long non-coding RNA, 708 nt
Filed under: Triticum aestivum (bread wheat)
Lineage: Eukaryota; Viridiplantae; Streptophyta; Magnoliopsida; Poales; Poaceae
Description: long non-coding RNA (TAES_LNC020318)
Source: RNAcentral